UACGGAGGGGGCUAGCGUUGUUCGGAAUUACUGGGCGUAAAGCGCACGUAGGCGGCUUUGUAAGUUAGAGGUGAAAGCCCGGGGCUCAACUCCGGAACUGCCUUUAAGACUGCAUCGCUUGAAUCCAGGAGAGGUGAGUGGAAUUCCGAGUGUAGAGGUGAAAUUCGUAGAUAUUCGGAAGAACACCAGUGGCGAAGGCGACUCACUGGACAUGUAUUGACGCUGAGGUACGAAAGCGUGGGGAGCGAACAGG
RNAcentral lists this ribosomal RNA (253 nucleotides) under uncultured bacterium. RNAcentral describes it as "partial 16S ribosomal RNA". It matches the Rfam family "Bacterial small subunit ribosomal RNA", at positions 524 to 776 of the family's 1533-position model. The record is from RNAcentral.